GUAGAUUUCAGGAAACGGUAAAAUACGCUAAAUUCGCCCUUUCACGGCGGCAACAGGGGUUCGACUCCCCUUGGGGACGCCA
RNAcentral lists this transfer RNA (82 nucleotides) under Gammaproteobacteria bacterium. Its description in RNAcentral is "tRNA-OTHER". Lineage: Bacteria; Pseudomonadati; Pseudomonadota; Gammaproteobacteria. The record is from RNAcentral.